GAUGAACGCUGGCGGCGUGCCUAAUACAUGCAAGUCGAGCGGAAAGACGCGGAGCUUGCUCCUCUCACGUUAGCGGCGGACGGGUGAGUAACGCGUGGAUAACCCACCUGUAUGACUGGUAUAACUUCGGGAAACCGGAGCAAAUACCGGAUAAUAUAUUGAACCGCAUGGUUCAAUAGUGAAAUACGGUUUUGCUGUCACUUCUAGAUGGAUCUGGGCGGCAUUGGCUGGUUGGUAAGUUAACGGCUUUCCAAGGCAACGAUGCGUAGCCGACGGGAGAGGGGGAUCGGCCGCCCGGGAGGUGAGACACGCUCCUGAGUCCUACGGUAGGCCCCAGUAGGUAACGUGAGGCACUGGGGGGAAGCCUGACGGAUCAGCGGCACGUGGGUGAUGAAGGUCUUCGGUUCGUAAGACUCGCUUACUGGGGAAAAACGACUUUGUAAGUAACUAUGCACUUCGUGACGGUAACGGAUAAGAAAGCCACGGCUAACUACGUG
RNAcentral lists this ribosomal RNA (497 nucleotides) under uncultured bacterium. RNAcentral's name for it is "partial 16S ribosomal RNA". It matches the Rfam family "Bacterial small subunit ribosomal RNA", at positions 28 to 507 of the family's 1533-position model. The record is from RNAcentral.